AAAAUAACAUUAUCUUUUAUAAUACUCGAGCGUUAACUGAUUUUAAUAUAGAUGCAUAAUGGUGAAAGUAAAAAUGUAAAAGAUAAUGAGAGAAUAGUAAUUUGUGCGAUUGAUUGUACUCGAAAAGACGAUAGUUUAGUACGAUUUUCUAUAUCGAACUAAAAAAGAAGGUAGAAGGAAAAGAACUUUUACGCGUGAUACCAAAGGACAACUCGGAACAAAAAAUUUAAGGUUUUACACAUAGUGUCAUGUUUAACAGUAUAGUUAUUAACGUGAAAAGAAGAAUAAAUAUACUUACAGAUUGGACGAAUAGUAUCAGAAAGAAGAUAUUAACGAGACACGGACACCGGAGACGUAACUAAUAGACAGCAGAAGAGAAUGAAUAAAAGAUUUACACACAAUCUUGUAUUAUACUAUGAUAAAUUAUUAAAUUUUUCUU
Molecule: unclassified non-coding RNA, 439 nt
Filed under: Bombus terrestris (buff-tailed bumblebee)
Lineage: Eukaryota; Metazoa; Arthropoda; Insecta; Hymenoptera; Apidae
Description: misc RNA ENSBTSG00005036657.1
Source: RNAcentral